This 21-nucleotide non-coding RNA is filed under the name Caenorhabditis elegans. Lineage: Eukaryota; Metazoa; Nematoda; Chromadorea; Rhabditida; Rhabditidae. The record is from RNAcentral.
UUGUAUGUCUUCAGCCAUUUU